UACGGGGGGAGCAAGCGUUGUUCGGAUUUACUGGCCGUAAAGGGCGCGUAGGCGGCCUCCGCAAGUCAGUUGUGAAAUCUCCGAGCUUAACUCGGAAAGGUCAACUGAUACUGCGGGGCUAGAGUGCGGAAGGGGCAACUGGAAUUCUUGGUGUAGCGGUGAAAUGCGUAGAUAUCAAGAGGAACACCUGCGGCGAAGGCGGGUUGCUGGGCCGACACUGACGCUGAGGCGCGAAAGCUAGGGGAGCGAACGGG
RNAcentral lists this ribosomal RNA (254 nucleotides) under uncultured bacterium. RNAcentral's name for it is "partial 16S ribosomal RNA". It matches the Rfam family "Bacterial small subunit ribosomal RNA", at positions 524 to 776 of the family's 1533-position model. The record is from RNAcentral.